ACGCUGACAGAAUGCUUAACACAUGCAAGUCAAUGGGGAAACGGUGCUUGCACCGCGAUAACCAUGGCGGACGGGUGAGUAACGCGUAAAGAACUUGCCUCUUAGUCUGGGAUAACAGAUGGAAACGACUGAAAAGACUAGAUAUUAUUAAAGCUUCGCAUGAAGCUUUAAUGAAAAGAGAUGCUAAGAGAGAGCUUUGCGUCCUAUUAGUUAGUUGGUGAGGUAACGGCUCACCAAGACGAAGAUAGGUAGCCGGUCUGAGAGGAUGAACGGCCACAAGGGGACUGAGAUACGGCCCUUACUCUUACGGGAGGCAGCAGUGGGGAAUAUUGGACAAUGGAGGAGACUCUGAUCCAGCAAUUCUGUGUGCACGAAGACGGUUUUCGGAUUGUAAAGUGCUUUCAGCAGGGAAGAAGAAAGUGACGGUACCUGCAGAAGAAGCGACGGCUAAAUACGUGCCAGCAGCCGCGGUAAUACGUAUGUCGCGAGCGUUGUCCGGAAUUAUUGGGCAUAAAGGGCAUCUAGGCGGAUAUACAAGUCAGGGGUGAAAACUUAGGGCUCAACUCAAAGCUUGCCUUUGAAACUGUAUAUCUAGAGUGCUGGAGAGGUGGACGGAACUACACGAGUAGAGGUGAAAUUCGUAGAUAUGUGUAGGAAUGCCGAUGAUGAAGAUAGUCCACUGGACAGCAACUGACGCUGAAGUGCGAAAGCUAGGGGAGCAAACAGGAUUAGAUACCCUGGUAGUCCCAGCUGUAAACGAUGAUUACUGGGUGUGGGCAUGAAGAGUGUCUGUGCCGAAGCUAAUGCGAUAAGUAAUCCGCCUGGGGAGUACGACCGCAAGGUUGAAACUCAAAGGAAUUGACGGGGACCCGCACAAGCGGUGGAGCAUGUGGUUUAAUUCGACGCAACGCGAGGAACCUUACCAG
This 926-nucleotide ribosomal RNA is filed under the name uncultured bacterium. RNAcentral describes it as "bacterial SSU rRNA". It matches the Rfam family "Bacterial small subunit ribosomal RNA", at positions 33 to 977 of the family's 1533-position model. The record is from RNAcentral.